UUUUUCCUACGGGGCGCAGCAGUGAGGAAUAUUGGUCAAUGGGCGCGAGCCUGAACCAGCCAAGUCGCGUGAGGGAAGACGGUCCUAUGGAUUGUAAACCUCUUUUGUCGGGGAGCAAAAGACGCCACGUGUGGCGUUCCGAGAGUACCCGAAGAAAAAGCAUCGGCUAACUCCGUGCCAGCAGCCGCGGUAAUACGGAGGAUGCGAGCGUUAUCCGGAUUUAUUGGGUUUAAAGGGUGCGUAGGCGGGAUGCCAAGUCAGCGGUCAAAUACGGGGGCUCAACCUGCGUCCGCCGUUGAAACUGG
Molecule: ribosomal RNA, 305 nt
Filed under: uncultured bacterium
Lineage: Bacteria
Description: bacterial SSU rRNA
Rfam family: Bacterial small subunit ribosomal RNA
Source: RNAcentral